Molecule: long non-coding RNA, 520 nt
Organism: Oreochromis aureus
Lineage: Eukaryota; Metazoa; Chordata; Actinopteri; Cichliformes; Cichlidae
Source: Ensembl
GAUCUCCUCCAGUGUGUCCAAACAGCAACGUCUCAACUUGAUUUCUAAGUUGCAGGGAAUGAAACCUGGCAAGGAGGGCCGGUGGCGAGCGAAAGACGGUGCAGUGUAGACUGUGCCGCACUCUUUGUUUUUUCCAAAAAAUACAGCAAAGGGGGAGAAGCAGGUCCAUAUAUCCUUGCUCCUGGUCUGUGGGUCAUAUCUGGACUGUUCCAGACAGCAUCCUCGGUCGAUGUCGGCAUUACAGAGGAACAAGCUGGGAACUUCCAGACAGUGAUCCAAAAGCAGUCCAGACCUGCACAGGAAGAUGACCUCAGAGGGGAGAUCGGACACCUUUACAUCGGCUCCUCUGCAGUGGUUUUUAGUGCUCUUUCUGCAAACCUCAGUGAGCCACAGCGGCGCAGGCCGCUGCCUGGUUUGAACUCAAAAGAAAAUAGAAUAUUUCCAAAACUUGGAUGACCAAUGAAAAGUGAGAAUGAAGACGGCGAGUCAGAGAAGAAGAACCAUGGAAAGUACAACCCGA